RNAcentral lists this transfer RNA (69 nucleotides) under Eucera floralia. Its description in RNAcentral is "tRNA-Met". The record is from RNAcentral. Lineage: Eukaryota; Metazoa; Arthropoda; Insecta; Hymenoptera; Apidae.
AUAUAAAUAAACUAAAUUAAGUUAUUAGGUUCAUACCCUAAGUAUAGAUUUAUUAUAAUCUUUUAUAUA